GACGUAGGGCGCGAGCGUUGUCCGGAUUUAUUGGGCGUAAAGAGCUCGUAGGCGGCUUGUCGCGUCGACUGUGAAAACCCGAGGCUCAACUUCGGGCUUGCAGUCGAUACGGGCAGGCUAGAGUUCGGUAGGGGAGACUGGAAUUCCUGGUGUAGCGGUGAAAUGCGCAGAUAUCAGGAGGAACACCGAUGGCGAAGGCAGGUCUCUGGGCCGAUACUGACGCUGAGGAGCGAAAGCGUGGGAAACGAACAGG
Molecule: ribosomal RNA, 253 nt
Filed under: uncultured bacterium
Lineage: Bacteria
Description: partial 16S ribosomal RNA
Rfam family: Bacterial small subunit ribosomal RNA
Source: RNAcentral